This 2837-nucleotide long non-coding RNA is filed under the name Homo sapiens (human). Its description in RNAcentral is "non-protein coding BLACAT1:12". The record is from RNAcentral. Lineage: Eukaryota; Metazoa; Chordata; Mammalia; Primates; Hominidae.
GUUUUUAAUUCUUUCUCCUGGUGUGUCUGCUCCACCGCCCGAGCUAAUCCCCCAAAUCCGGUCUCCUAAGCCGCAGCUGCUUCCCUUCGCAGUGAUGAAUGGCUCAGGGAGGGAAGGUGAAUUCAUAUUUUAAUUACUGAGACGCGGUGCUAAGGGAGCCGGGGAGGGGGCGGAGGGCUCAGCUUUGUUCUAGAGGCGUCGAGGGCACACCCUCCUUACUGGGUCACUUCUCUUUUGCCCUUUACCUGGGGUGGGGGGUGGCGGGGAGUUAAGGUGGGGGUUGCCUUGCUGAGAGUGCCUCUGCUCUCUGCCUUGGGAGAUGAAGGGAUGGGUCGUGGGGGGCGCAAUAUCCCUCUUCUUGUUUAUCAGAGAAUUGCUGGCAUGCCCCAGCACUUUUAAAUAGCUUCCUAGCCUUCCACCCCCGCUGCCGCCCACUCUGAUGAAGGACAUUGCCAAAAUUCGAGACACCUAGGAGUUUGUGGUCUGCAAGCCUGGGGCCCUGGAUUUCUCUUUAUCUUACUUUCUGGCCUGCUCUGAGUCUCCUCUUUCUCUUGGUUCUUCCACAUGUUCAUGCUGUCUCUGACUCACUGCCCCAUUUUUGCCAGACAUGCUGACUCAAGCUGGGCCUCCUGCCCAUCCAGCUGGCCAGUGGAAAUGCAUUGCACCUAUUAAUUACAGCUAUUAGCUGUAUUACCGGGACGCUGAGAGGCUGAGGGAGGGGAGAAUCUUGACAGGACUUGGAUCCACCGGGCACUGUGCUUGGUGUGGGCCUUGGCUCUGUCUGGAGAAACACGAAGGAAGUUUUUCCAAAAGGGCAAGGUUGUCCAGACCAGUGGAACUGUCCAGAGAGCCACCAUCUGGGCCAUGCCACAUUCCUCAAAGGCAGUGAAACCACUUUGCACAUGUGCCUUGCUGGGGUAACCCAGGACAUCCUAUGCAAUCUCUAUUGCUUGAGGGGCUGGAGAAGGGAGGCGCCUCAUGCUUCCCUAUUCCAAACCCCUUCCGCAUAGCCCUGUGCCUCCCUCCUUCCCCGCAGCACUUGGGCUUCACUCACCUGCUUGCCCCCAUGUUCUUCCUGGAGAGAGGAGUGAUUCAGACCAGGCCCCGGCCUGACCUCCACGCAGGGCGCUUUCCUUCCUUUGUUCUCAGCUUCUCCGCUUGAGUGGCUUGAGUGCACUUCUGCUCCCUUUCCAUAGGCCCAGGGGCAGAGGAAGGGCAGAGAGGUGAACUGGAAAAAUCUGCAGGUGGUUAAGGCUAGGGAAACCUAAAUGAGCCUUUGGAGAAAGGGAUACUCUUGCAGACUGAAGCUGAGCUCCUGAAGCUCCCUCUCUUCCCCAGCCAGACUGCAACAGAUACCAGAGCGGCCCCUGGCUCCUGCUGAGGGCCGGGUCAGCCAGAGGUGGGGGACAGCGUGUCCAGCUGGGGCAGAUCCAGCCUCAGGAAACACUGAGGUUUCAAAGAGCUUUUCCUUGGAAUGUGGGCCUCUCUGGGCAACUAGGGAGGGCAAAAGUCUUCCUCGGCUGGUUCGCCCAAAACCUGGGAGAAGCAAGGGCACAUUCUAUGCUGGCAGCCUCUGCCUGCCCAGCUCAUGCCCACACUCAGGGGCCUUUCCUGGGCUUUGGGCAGAUUGGGUGGGAUUCAGGUUGUCUUUAUGAGGCUUGAGCACAGCUUGAGUUCCUCCUCCCAUCCUCCAACCCCUUCCUUUGCCCCUACCUCCUAGCCCCCACCUUCUACAAUCUGUUAUUUCCUUUUAUAUCCAAAGAAUUAUAAACAGAAGUCCUUCCCUCAAGGGAACAGCAAGAUUCAGCAAUAAAGGCCAGUGGGGUCACAAAGGACAGAAGAAAAACUCCCUGGUUCUUUGUCCUCUUGGAUAGUAGAGGCCUUGGGUGAGGCAAAGAGAUGGGCAGAAAAAGUUACCUUGAUACAGAGGCCAGAGAGCCUCCUGGAGGGCAUGUGUUUCCCUAGCGGUCACCUGCGAGGCUGCAAUCCUAGAAAAGUCACUUCUGUGGCAGAGGAUGAAAUUGUAUCCCCGGAGACUCAGAGAUAUUGGGUGUUAUGUCCUGACCACACAGGCUCACCAGGAGGAAAGGUUAGGAAAGUGGAGAAAGUACGUCCUGGGGAGCGGGUGGCCGAGGAGAGCUUUCCCCUUGUGCGCCUCUCAGGCCUUGGCAGGGAUUGCAGCUGCAGGGGUUUGGCAGUGAGCCCAUCCAGAGAGCUUCCUCCCCCGGGAGAACUCCCUUGGCUCCAGAGGGAUACUAGAUAUCUUGAGCCCUGGCUUUGGGAACAUGGGUGGGGUCCCAAGGUCAAAGUGUUCUGAGUCCUCUGCCUCCAAGCCGGCAGCCCCGCCGGGGUUAUUGUGGCCAGUCCGCCUGGGUUCGCUUCUCUAAAUUUCCAUGGGAUAGGAACUAUAGAUCAUGAAGAAGAAACAGGAACCUUGACUCUUCACGGAGGAGCCCAGGAGGUCAGAACCAUCCACCAGGAGGGUGAGCGGUAGCUGCCCAGGGCAUCCCUGGAGGAAGUCGUCAUACUGAGGAAGAAAUUGCCAAAGCCAAGAGCUCCCAGACCUGGGCAGCUCAGGAGCUGACAGAAACCACCCCCCAGGUCUGGAGUUCAAGGGUUUUCCUCGUGGGCUGCUGGUCUGUCUCUUUCCCUUCUGGGGCAGCCGUCUCUCCUCCUUCAGCUCAUUCCCGUGUUCCAUCUGAGGGGCGGGAGGAAGGCAGGAGGGGGAGAUGGCAGGACCCAGACAGAUCCUCAGGACUCUCCCAGCCUCUGUUGCCAUGGCAACACUGCUAUUUUUAUCCCGUUGUUCAUGAUGCUCAAAGCUCUAACUUUCUCUG